Oncorhynchus keta (chum salmon) is the source of this 458-nucleotide long non-coding RNA. RefSeq lists it as uncharacterized. Lineage: Eukaryota; Metazoa; Chordata; Actinopteri; Salmoniformes; Salmonidae. The record is from RefSeq and is a predicted model, not a curated record. The transcript has 2 exons.
UUUUAGAUGACUUUCCCCUUAAGAUGCAUUAGAAGAAGACACAAAUGACAAUGUCCCAGCACAACUCUAGGCUGUGUAAGGGCUAUUUUAACAAGAAGGAGAGUGAUGGACUGCUGCAUCAGAUGACCUGGCCUCCACAAUCACCUGAUCUCAACUCAAUUGAGAUGGUUUGGGAGGAGUUGGAUCGCAGAGUGAAGGAAAGCAGCCCACAAGUGCUCAGCAUAUGUUGGAACUCCUUCCUUGGAUAAGCAUUCCAGGUGAAGCUGGUUGAGAGAAUGCCGAGAGUAUGCCACGCUGUCAUCAAGGCAAAGGGUGGCUACUUUGAAGAAUCUAAAAUCUAUUAUGAUUCUUUUAACAAUGUGUUUGGUUACUACAUGAUUCCAUGUGUUAUUUCAUAGUGUUGAUGUCUUCACUAUUAUUAUACAAUGUAAAAAUAAAAACUAGAAUUUAUAUAUAUA